RNAcentral lists this non-coding RNA (23 nucleotides) under Cricetulus griseus (Chinese hamster). The record is from RNAcentral. Lineage: Eukaryota; Metazoa; Chordata; Mammalia; Rodentia; Cricetidae.
AAGUUAAAUUUUUGUGACUCAGG